This 324-nucleotide unclassified non-coding RNA is filed under the name soil metagenome. RNAcentral's name for it is "partial contains 5.8S ribosomal RNA, internal transcribed spacer 2, and large subunit ribosomal RNA". The stretch from base 1 to 120 matches the Rfam family "5.8S ribosomal RNA", at positions 35 to 154 of the family's 154-position model. The record is from RNAcentral.
GAUGAAGAACGCAGCGAAAUGCGAUAAGUAAUGCGAAUUGCAGAAUUCAGUGAGUCAUCGAAUCUUUGAACGCACAUUGCGCCCUGUGGUAUUCCGCAGGGCAUGCCUGUUCGAGCGUCAUUUCAACCCUCAAGCCCCGCUUGGUGUUGGGCCCCGCCCGCUGUGGCCGGCCCUAAAGACAGUGGCGGCGCCGCCUGGCCCUCAGCGUAGUACAUCUCUCGCUCCAGGGUCCGGUGGCCGCUUGCCAGAACCCCCCAACUCUGUGGUUGACCUCGGAUCAGGUAGGGAUACCCGCUGAACUUAAGCAUAUCAAUAAGCGGAGGA